GGGCCCAUAGCUCAGUUGGUUAGAGCUGCCGGCUCAUAACCGGCUGGUCCCUGGUUCGAGUCCAGGUGGGCCCACCA
This 77-nucleotide transfer RNA is filed under the name Deltaproteobacteria bacterium. RNAcentral describes it as "tRNA-Met". It matches the Rfam family "tRNA". Rfam says of the family: Transfer RNA (tRNA) molecules are approximately 80 nucleotides in length. Their secondary structure includes four short double-helical elements and three loops (D, anti-codon, and T loops). Lineage: Bacteria; Pseudomonadati; Myxococcota; Myxococcia. The record is from RNAcentral.